CACGUAGGGGGCGAGCGUUGUUCGGAAUCAUUGGGCGUAAAGGGCGCGCAGGCGGCGUUUAAAGUCUGGCGUGGAAGUCCCCGGCUCAACCGGGGGACGGCGUUGGAAACUGGGACGCUUGAGUAAGGCAGGGGAUGGCGGAAUUCCAGGUGUAGGGGUGAAAUCUGUAGAUAUCUGGAGGAACACCGACGGCGAAGGCAGCCAUCUGGUCCAUUACUGACGCUGAGGCGCGAAGGUGCGGGGAGCAAACAGGUUUAGAUACC
RNAcentral lists this ribosomal RNA (263 nucleotides) under uncultured bacterium. Its description in RNAcentral is "partial 16S ribosomal RNA". It matches the Rfam family "Bacterial small subunit ribosomal RNA", at positions 524 to 786 of the family's 1533-position model. The record is from RNAcentral.